This 693-nucleotide ribosomal RNA is filed under the name uncultured Bacilli bacterium. RNAcentral's name for it is "bacterial SSU rRNA". It matches the Rfam family "Bacterial small subunit ribosomal RNA", at positions 58 to 732 of the family's 1533-position model. The record is from RNAcentral. Lineage: Bacteria; Bacillati; Bacillota; Bacilli.
CAAGUCGAGCGGACCGACGGGAGCUUGCUCCCUUAGGUCAGCGGCGGACGGGUGAGUAACACGUGGGUAACCUGCCUGUAAGACUGGGAUAACUCCGGGAAACCGGGGCUAAUACCGGAUGCUUGAUUGAACCGCAUGGUUCAAUCAUAAAAGGUGGCUUUUAGCUACCACUUGCAGAUGGACCCGCGGCGCAUUAGCUAGUUGGUGAGGUAACGGCUCACCAAGGCGACGAUGCGUAGCCGACCUGAGAGGGUGAUCGGCCACACUGGGACUGAGACACGGCCCAGACUCCUACGGGAGGCAGCAGUAGGGAAUCUUCCGCAAUGGACGAAAGUCUGACGGAGCAACGCCGCGUGAGUGAUGAAGGUUUUCGGAUCGUAAAACUCUGUUGUUAGGGAAGAACAAGUACCGUUCGAAUAGGGCGGUACCUUGACGGUACCUAACCAGAAAGCCACGGCUAACUACGUGCCAGCAGCCGCGGUAAUACGUAGGUGGCAAGCGUUGUCCGGAAUUAUUGGGCGUAAAGCGCGCGCAGGCGGUUUCUUAAGUCUGAUGUGAAAGCCCCCGGCUCAACCGGGGAGGGUCAUUGGAAACUGGGGAACUUGAGUGCAGAAGAGGAGAGUGGAAUUCCACGUGUAGCGGUGAAAUGCGUAGAGAUGUGGAGGAACACCAGUGGCGAAGGCGACUCUCUGG